UUGAGGUUUUUCAUGAGAAGAAUUUAACCACUUGUACAAUGCAGCUUAUUGCAGUUCUCUCGGGGGCUGGUCUGGUGGCUAAUGCACUAGUUUGUUGGCCACUUUGAUCCUGGCUGCCCUGUUUUAAGUCUUGCUAUGACUGGUUAAGCUAGUGCUCUGUAACCCCGGGGAUAACUUGAGGGUUCUGAAAGUCAUGAGGCACGGUCCCCAAGAUCAAAAUAUAAAAAUAGGUCUGGGGUCAGGGAACUCAACAGGCCCUGGAAGCUCUUCACUUUUACAGCUGGAGAUGGUCUCUUAUGUAUUUAGAAUUCGUCAUUAGGAUUCUGACAAAGAACUGCAGUAUGGGAUUGCUGCAGGGCAGGCUGUUUGAAUCUUACUCUUGAUAACAAAAAAAACCCCAACUUCUGGCUGCUGACAGGAGACAAGAGAGAUAGCUCCCUCCACUUCAGUCUAUAAUACAAACGAAGAUCAGCCAUUUGUUGCAUCCGAGGUAAACUGGCCUGGAUUUGUGGUCUGAGUUCACCAUAUUUCCACAGUAUGACAUUGAAGAAGAAAGGAAUUUUACUUGUCACUUGAUAGUUAUUGUCUCAUGACACUAAGCUAUGACUUGGAGACAAAGGCCAAGUCAAGCCCCACUGUGAGAUUCAAUGAUUCCUUGGUGGAGAAAGAAGCAUUUGAUGUGGAGCCUGACACACCUGAAUGGAUGAACUAAUAAAUGAUUAAGAAGUAAGUACACCAGCAAGUUUCUUGUGCCUGGACUAAAGAUGGAGUAUAGGAUGAGUAGUAGAAGAUGUAACAACUGGGACUGGAUUACAGAUGGUCUUUGUAUUAGUCUAUUCUCACACUGCUAUAAAGAAAUACCUGAGACUGGGUCAUUUAUAAAGAAAAGAGAUUUAAUUGGCUCAUGAUCCUGCAUGCUGUACAGGAAGCAUGAUGCUGUUGUCUGCUUGGCUUCUGGGGAGGCCUCAGGAAACUUAACAAUCAUGGCGGAAGGCGAAGGGGGCACAGGCAUGUCACGUGGCCAGAGCAGGAGCAAAAGAGGAGGAGGAGGUGCUACACGUUAAACAUCCACAUCUCCCAAGACUCACUCACUAUCGUGAGGAUAGUACCAAGGGGAUGGUGCUAAGCCAUUUGUGAGAAAUCUGCCCCGUGAUCAAAUCACCUUCUACCAGGCCCCACCUCCAACACUGGAGAUUACAAUUCCACAUGAGAUUUGGGUGGGGACACAGAUUCAAACCAUAUCGGUCCUGUGGGCAAGGCAGUGCCCUGAAGACUUUAAAGUAAGAGAAGAACAUGACUCCGUUGGUGCACAGUGCAUCUUGCUGGAUGCUGGGUGCUUGGAGAACUGCUGGUUCCGGGUGGGCGCAGGCAAAGUCCAUUAUUUAUAAUUUUAUAUUAUUUGUAGCACCUAGCAUGGUGUUAGACCCAUAGUAGAUGUUUAAUAAAUAUUUAAUGAAUGACUGCUUUACCUGCUUAAUUAUGUAAAAGUCUUAUCUGAAAAUAUCAAGAUUUAAAAAAACCCACAAAUAUAAAAUUUAACUAUAGAUGUCACAUCUCACAACGACUUUCAUCUUUGAUUUUAUCUUCUCAAAUAACAUUUAUAACAUACCUAAUCUGUUGCCAAACAUAUCAUAGGCAAUUCAGAUAUAAAUGAAAUAAAAAGGAUCCCUUUGCUUUAGAAGCAUGGCAUUUAGUUAGAGAAACAAGACAUAUCCUUAGGUAAAACUCCUAAAUGACAAAACAGAACAAAUCUUACUACAUACAAAAUGAUCUCUAAGGGGAAAGAUCAUUGUGAGAUGGUUUCUUAGGAAUAAAUUUGCAAAAAGUUGGAAUUUUAUGAUAUAUUUAUUAAAUUAAGUUUAGCAUUUAAUACAGAUUUUCCAUUUGAUUUUAAAGUAAAACAGUCUCAGGCGAGGGAAACAAGUGAGCAAACGUUCACAGAAGGUAAAAAGAGGUAAAGUGUCAGAGGCCAAAUUUUAUAUUCAGAAAAACUGACUCAUCGUAGUGAGAACUAUUUGAGAGCUAUGCAUUUAAAACCUACCACUAAAAAAUAGGUGUAUAUUGUCUUUAGUGAUUCAUAGUACAUUUACAAUCACAUGUCAGUCACUGAGGGCAGCUGCAAUUUGCAUCUCAAAAACACAGAAUGUCCUUAAAGGAAAAAAUCAUUGAAACACAUCAUUCAAGAGCCUCCUGGAAGGGAAUUUUUAAUUCACUCAUUGGGUUUUAAGUAAAUGGAAGCUUACUCAAUGAACAUUUAAAACUAAUAGUUUUCUAGUAAUCGUAAUGUAUUGUUAAUAAUCUCAGAAUACUUUAUCUCACUCACAUUCUAUGGAUCAAAAGUUGGUAAAUGUGUACCCUAGCCUUGGAAAAAUGGUUUAGUAAGAACAAUUGCAUUUGCUUUAGGGUGUGUUCAAGUGGUAGCCAUGCAAGUUAGUUCACGUCUUAUAAUAUAUUUCCUUAUCUUUAUAAUGGACUACUGAUAAUAUAAACCUGUUUUCCUCAGUUUUUCCAAAGCCCAAUACACAAUUUUUUUCUCUACUUUAUUCAGUGCCUUCACUCCAAAUAAUUAGAUUGUUGUUAGUCAUUUGAAGCAGAAAUGUGUUUUAUUCUUAUGUGUUGUACACUGUAUAGGUACAAACUGAUAAAUACCUUUGCUGACCAAUUAACCAAAAACCCUCCUCUCUUUUGCCCUUUUUCAGUGGAGGCUACAGCUGUACACAGGGCACAGAAACGCUCUUCAGACCAUACUCCUACUGCCAGGGGAUGGAGAAGGCAUGGUGUCAGCAAUUCAAGACUGUUUUUCCUACCUCUUCAGUGUCUCUUUCGGCAAAAUGAAGUGAAAAUCAGACUUGUAACUGAAGAAGCCAUCAACCAAGAAAUUUCCAACAGACCCAGAUGGAAAAAGUCCCAGUGAAAGCCUGUUCUUUAGCCAAAGGGGCCAGAAAAGAGCAAGAUAGCAGGACAAGAUCUCUGCCAUCAUGUGAGAGAGAGCCUGAGUUAGCCUGCUGGAUGGUCAAAGAUGAGUGGUGCAGCUAAGUGAAAGCCUGCUGACUUGUAGACAUAUGAGUAAGGCCAUGCUUGAUCACCUGGCUGCCAGCUGGCCUGCCAACUAAUUGCAGGUACUUGAAAGAGUCCAGCAGAGAUCAGCCACCCCAGGUCAAAUAAACACCCAGCCCCCUCCCUGAGAAUGAUGAACUAAAUAAAUGUCUUAAGUACUAAGUUUUGGGUGUUUGCUACAUAGCAAAAGCUAAUUGAUACUGUUCCCAAGGAGUGGAAAACUUCUGUA
This 3286-nucleotide long non-coding RNA is filed under the name Homo sapiens (human). RNAcentral's name for it is "HSALNT0293734". The record is from RNAcentral. Lineage: Eukaryota; Metazoa; Chordata; Mammalia; Primates; Hominidae.